Molecule: long non-coding RNA, 431 nt
Filed under: Rhinopithecus bieti (black snub-nosed monkey)
Lineage: Eukaryota; Metazoa; Chordata; Mammalia; Primates; Cercopithecidae
Description: lncRNA (ENSRBIG00000046606.1)
Source: RNAcentral
UGUGACUUCACAGCCUCUGUACUUCAGAAAGGUGGAUGAUUAAGUCCAGGUAUAAUAAUAAGUGCAGGUAUUGUUAGCACCCUUGGCAUCUCCUUGCAAUUAGAGUCUCUACUUUUCAUUCCAGAGGCCACCGAUAUGGUCCUGGAGGGCCGCCCCUCCUCACUGCAGCCUGCCUGCUCCCCUUGUGCCUCUGUGUCCAGCUGGAGCCCAAUGCCUGCUGUUCACUUCUCUGACUUCUGCCUCCUCAGCGGUUCUAGGAAGGAAAACAGGAGAGAGCCCUGAGCCCUGACCUUCUUCUGUCACCAUCAGCUUGUGAUAUCUUCUCAGGCCAGCUCUAGCCAACUCUGUGACUGUUUCCACAGGUGCCGAUGUUGGCAUCAUGUCUAACUUCUGCUGCUUCUCAAAGUUGCCAUGAUAAUCUCAUUAGAGAG